UAAAAGAUCGACUCACGGUGUGCUUCGGUCGGAAAUCGAACGGAACUGGCUUCUCCCGUUCGUCGCCGUUUGUGGAUUCGAGAGACAGAGAGAUAGAUCGCAAACCCUAGGAAAUGGGGAAAAGAAAAACCCGUGUUUCCUUUCAUUUUUUCGACCAAUACACACUUGCCACGUCGACCAGCACUUCCCUUAAGCACAGCUCUUCGACAAGCCCUCCCAAACUGCUCUUAGCCCACUUUUAGAUUAAAUCCAAAUAUAUUAAGCCCAAGCACACCCCAUGUGCUCCCCCUUUGAAGAUGGCCUUAGUUAUUGUCUUUUGGAAACACCUAGAACUAGAAACAUCUGAACUCUUAUUACAUCACCUUUAUGCUAUAUCUUUACAAUUACCAUACAAACUUCCUGAGCUCCUUUUCCCGCUUAAUAUCUCGAGUGUUGAAGUCUACCUAAAUCUUAGCUUAAACAAAUAUCUGCAACAAAAGGAUAAAACUAUGUUUUGUUCAGUAUCUAUAUUAUUUGAUAGCAUUAAUAAUUUUGAAAUUCAUUACGUGUGUUACCGUUCUGACUAUUGAUAUGCAUAAUUGGCAGGACCUCGUGUCUUUCAAGUUUGGUAUAUGCUUAUUGUCAAAUAGAGAGCCCAACAACUCAUAAUGGGUAUACUAGACCUAAAAUAUUUUUUAUUGAUAACAUCAAAACCUCAGCUUCCACACAGUAAUUCUCAAAUCUUUAAUUAAGUACUACACCAAAGUCCUCAAAAAGGCCCAAUCUAAACAACA
This 773-nucleotide long non-coding RNA is filed under the name Brassica rapa (field mustard). RNAcentral's name for it is "long non-coding RNA (BRAP_LNC001723)". Lineage: Eukaryota; Viridiplantae; Streptophyta; Magnoliopsida; Brassicales; Brassicaceae. The record is from RNAcentral.